Molecule: antisense RNA, 69 nt
Filed under: Amycolatopsis sp. MJM2582
Lineage: Bacteria; Bacillati; Actinomycetota; Actinomycetes; Pseudonocardiales; Pseudonocardiaceae
Description: Aspks sRNA
Rfam family: ASpks TB sRNA
Source: RNAcentral
CUUCACCGAACCCAGCCAGAGCGGCUCUUCGCGAUCCUGCCCGUACGUGGCGAGCAGGGCUUGCGCCUC